RNAcentral lists this ribosomal RNA (460 nucleotides) under uncultured bacterium. RNAcentral's name for it is "partial 16S ribosomal RNA". It matches the Rfam family "Bacterial small subunit ribosomal RNA", at positions 338 to 795 of the family's 1533-position model. The record is from RNAcentral.
CCUACGGGGGGCAGCAGUGAGGAAUAUUGGUCAAUGGACGAGAGUCUGAACCAGCCAAGUAGCGUGAAGGAUGACUGCCCUAUGGGUUGUAAACUUCUUUUAUAUGGGAAUAAAAUGUUCCACGUGUGGGAUUUUGUAUGUACCAUAUGAAUAAGGAUCGGCUAACUCCGUGCCAGCAGCCGCGGUAAUACGGAGGAUCCGAGCGUUAUCCGGAUUUAUUGGGUUUAAAGGGAGCGUAGGUGGAUUGUUAAGUCAGUUGUGAAAGUUUGCGGAUCAACCGUAAAAUUGCAGUUGAAACUGGCAGUCUUGAGUACAGUAGAGGUGGGCGGAAUUCGUGGUGUAGCGGUGAAAUGCUUAGAUAUCACGAAGAACUCCGAUUGCGAAGGCAGUUCACUGGACUGCAACUGACACUGAGGCUCGAAAGUGUGGGUAUCAAACAGGAUUAGAUACCCUAGUAGUC